UUUGUUUAAAACGAAUACAAA
This 21-nucleotide non-coding RNA is filed under the name Caenorhabditis elegans. The record is from RNAcentral. Lineage: Eukaryota; Metazoa; Nematoda; Chromadorea; Rhabditida; Rhabditidae.